RNAcentral lists this ribosomal RNA (445 nucleotides) under uncultured bacterium. RNAcentral describes it as "bacterial SSU rRNA". It matches the Rfam family "Bacterial small subunit ribosomal RNA", at positions 329 to 791 of the family's 1533-position model. The record is from RNAcentral.
GCCCAGAGUGGGACGGGAGGCAGCAGUGGGGAUAACUGGACGAUGGGGGCAAGCGUGAUCCAGCCAUGCCGCAUGAGUGAUGAACGCCGUAGGGUUGUAAAGCUCUUUCGACGGUGAAGAUAAUGACGGUAACCGUAGAAGAGGCCCCGGCUAACUUCGUGCCAGCAGCCGCGGUAAUACGAAGGGGGCUAGCGUUGUUCGGAAUUACUGGGCGUAAAGCGCACGUAGGCGGAUACUUAAGUCAGGGGUGAAAUCCCGGGGCUCAACCCCGGAACUGCCUUUGAUACUGGGUAUCUGGAGUCCGGAAGAGGUGAGUGGAAUUCCGAGUGUAGAGGUGAAAUUCCUAGAUAUUCGGAGGAACACCAGUGGCGAAGGCGGCUCACUGGUCCGGUACUGACGCUGAGGUGCGAAAGCGUGGGGAGCAAACAGGAUUAGAACCCCUGGU